AACUCAGGACCUCUGGAAGAGCAGCAAGU
This 29-nucleotide non-coding RNA is filed under the name Cricetulus griseus (Chinese hamster). The record is from RNAcentral. Lineage: Eukaryota; Metazoa; Chordata; Mammalia; Rodentia; Cricetidae.